UGCCUGGUAGCGGGGGAUAACUAUUGGAAACGAUAGCUAAUACCGCAUGAAAUUGCUUAUCGCAUGAUAAUUAAUUGAAAGAUGCAAUUGCAUCACUACCAGAUGGACCUGCGUUGUAUUAGCUAGUUGGUGAGGUAACGGCUCACCAAGGCGACGAUACAUAGCCGACCUGAGAGGGUGAUCGGCCACGCUGGGACUGAGACACGGCCCAG
RNAcentral lists this ribosomal RNA (212 nucleotides) under uncultured bacterium. RNAcentral describes it as "partial 16S ribosomal RNA". It matches the Rfam family "Bacterial small subunit ribosomal RNA", at positions 127 to 334 of the family's 1533-position model. The record is from RNAcentral.